Molecule: ribosomal RNA, 254 nt
Filed under: uncultured bacterium
Lineage: Bacteria
Description: partial 16S ribosomal RNA
Rfam family: Bacterial small subunit ribosomal RNA
Source: RNAcentral
UACGUAGGGGGCGAGCGUUGUCCGGAUUUAUUGGGCGUAAAAGGCUUGUAGGUGGCCACGCCAAGUCGGAUGUGAAAUCUCCCGGCUCAACUGGGAGGGGUCAUUCGAUACUGGCGGGCUCGAGGCCAGUAGGGGGAAGCGGAAUUCCCGGUGUAGUGGUGGAAUGCGUAGAUAUCGGGAGGAACACCAGUGGCGAAGGCGGCUUCCUGGACCGGUUCUGACACUGAGGAGCGAAAGCGUGGGGAGCGAACAGG